UGCAGAAGGAUCAUUA
This 16-nucleotide ribosomal RNA is filed under the name Malassezia pachydermatis. RNAcentral's name for it is "partial 18S ribosomal RNA". RNAcentral also lists the same sequence under 2 other names. Lineage: Eukaryota; Fungi; Basidiomycota; Malasseziomycetes; Malasseziales; Malasseziaceae. The record is from RNAcentral.